CUUAAGGUCCCAUACAAAAGGCACUCAAAACUCUUGUGGAGCCCACAAGAGGGCCACAGUUUGUACAGAAGGAGGCAUGGAUCCGCCAAGAGGCAUCUUUGUUGACCAGGAGGACGAUGUCAAAGCAAGCUAACAAAAGGGAAGCACCCAGCAAGCAGACCAAGAGAGAAAACAAAAGCACACCCACCCACCCCAUCAAAGAAAAAGUGUGAAAGCUUUGCUGGAGCCGACAACGAAAGGAGGCAAACGCAGACAUUCCCAAGGAGGAGCGUCUCAUUCGAUGGCGCGGCGCUGAUCUUGCGAGAGUGCAGCGCUCUCCGAUCCCACGUAUCGCAAGACACAACGAGUUCCCCGCACAAGAUCGCCCCAUUCCCAGCGCACAGCCGGGUCAAUGGGUGGCUGCUUCUCCAGUUCUCAGGAAACCCAGAUCCGGAUGUAGCCGCCUCUCAUUCCCGCCCUCCCACUAACUCUUACUCAUACACGGGAACCACGAGAGAUUUUAUGGUGGGGUCGGAUUUCUCUGGGUCCACAUUACCUUUUAGAACUUUGGGGUCCCUUAUAUUUUUUUAAGAUGAACUCACCUAAAAAAGUAAUGUGUGAAUGAAGCGUAUGCUGUAUCUGCCUGAAUAAAAGACUAGUUCUUUUCAUUUUUAAAAAAAAUAUUAGAAAUCAGGUCAUCUUAAAUUCAGGGUCCUGUUCCUUUGUAGGAAAUUCAGGUAUAACCUGUGUUUAACUUCUACUUUCUAAGGGGGUCGUUUUAAAUUCAGAGUCUCUUCGAUUCAGGUAAAUACAGUAGUACCAGUGUGUGCAUGUGCACAAAUGUUUGCCUCAUUUACACCUUCAAUUUUUACAUUUUUAAUACACACACAAAUGCAUAUGCAGAAUAUACAUUUAAAUAUAGAUGUAUGUAUCUUUGCUGGAAUUGGUUGUAACUCCAAUUAAACUGCAAAUCUGGGUUUA
Long non-coding RNA from Hemicordylus capensis (graceful crag lizard), 960 nucleotides. RefSeq lists it as uncharacterized. The transcript is spliced from 2 exons. The record is from RefSeq and is a predicted model, not a curated record. NCBI's taxonomy places the organism in Eukaryota, Metazoa, Chordata, Lepidosauria, Squamata, Cordylidae.